RNAcentral lists this unclassified non-coding RNA (788 nucleotides) under Hevea brasiliensis (rubber tree). Lineage: Eukaryota; Viridiplantae; Streptophyta; Magnoliopsida; Malpighiales; Euphorbiaceae. The record is from RNAcentral.
AUUCUUCACUUCCACAAUACGUAGUAGAUAAGACUCUAGAUUAAAUAUUAUUGUAAGGUUUAUGGUGAUCAGCACAAAGACAAAAGUAUAUUAAAUUUGUUCAAAACUUUCUAUCAGGAAUACAGAAAAUGGAAUUAAAAAAAUGAUAUUUCAACAUUGCGUGCUUGGAUACCCGAUCAACUUUCUUCUUGUGCUCAACCAGUGAAGUGAGGAAUCUGAAGAAGGACAUCCAAGUUAAAUCUACUUCCUUCCACGGUUAAGCCUCUGCAGGUGGUAAUUAAUGCUACCCCAAGACUUUCUUUUGCUGGUAGCCUGAGCAUCCAUACAGGCAUUCAACAGUUCCUUUUGCCGGACACAUUUAUCAAUAUCUGAUUGGUUAAGAGACACGCAAUUGAGAAAUGUUAUCAAUUCCUUCAUGCAAGGUUUCGUGAGAGAGCCAUAUUUCUUUGGGUUAAUGUAUAUGGUUCCAGCUUUCCGACCCAUUAUUCCAGUGUAAACUCUGGCCCUACUAGGGCAGCAGCUACAAGACGGAGCAGCCGAGAAUCAAUCCUGUGAUUCUGCGAUCUCAACGGAGCAGGACGGCGCAGCAGCUAGAGAUCGAAGACGGGGCAACAGAUAUUCGAUUCUACAAUUCUGGACAGAGACCCAGCCGUGCAUGCAUCGAGAUUGAUCGGCGACGGUGAGAUUGAGGGGCUGCGCUAAGAGACGAUGACGUUGACAGACACAGAGAGACUUUGAGCUAUCAAGCUAACAAAAAGAAUAGGGCAGUUGCAAAAUGUAAAGAGCAA